This 85-nucleotide small RNA is filed under the name Mytilus galloprovincialis (Mediterranean mussel). Lineage: Eukaryota; Metazoa; Mollusca; Bivalvia; Mytilida; Mytilidae. The record is from RNAcentral.
GUUUAUAAGAUAUCUCAUAUAGUUUAUAAGAUAUCUCAUAAACUAUAUAAGAUAUCUUAUAAACUAUAUGAGAUAUCUUAUAAAC